AAUAUUUUACAUACGUAGAAAACCUUUUCUAGUGGAAAAUAUUUUAGAUACGUAGAAAACCUUAUACCUAUACUUAAGCCUGGUAAAGGGCUGUAAAAAUCCAAGGGCCAAACCGAUCGGGCCUUAGAAGCUCAUAUAGGCCGAGCCUUAAAAGGCCUUCCCGAAGAAUGGGCAGGAUCAGAUCGGGCCAUCUCCAUAAAAGGGCUGACCUGUGAACGUGGCCCAUAAUCGAUCCUUGAGUCAAUUGGAAGGGCCGAGCCCGUGGAUCGCAGGAAAGGGCCUCUCCUCUUUUUCACGGCCUCUCCAGGCUCGUGCGGCGGCGGCGGCGCAAGAACUCAAGAUCCGGGCGGUGCGGGGGUGGGCGGCGCAAGGCUCGUGUGGCCUGUCCAGGCUCGUGUGGGGGUGGGCGGGGCCCGCGCGGGAUCCGGGCGGGCGGCGGCCGGCGGGACGGGCGAGCGGCGCGCCGCCGCGAGGCGCUCCCGUGGGGCCGGCCCCCGGCGGGCUCCGGCAGGGCGUGCGGCUAGGCCGACGCGCGGCGGCCAGCAAGAGCAGGCGGCCUCAGCAGCGGACGCAGGUGGCGUCGGCGUGCAGGAUUAUCCACAAGUCACAAGUCACUCUGCGAACCUGCUGGUUCUGACCUCAUUGUCUGAUGAUGACUGCAGUGAUAAAAUGAACUACAGCAGAAUGGUUUGUCUAGUUCACCUAUUGAGCUCAGUAUUGCUGCGACUGUCACUGUCAUUGCUUACGUUUCCUACUUUCAAAAAUUCUGCACCAGGAAAGUGGAAGUAGAUAAGAUGUCAUAAGGAAAAAGGUACAACAAUUUCACAAGGAAGGAGGGGUUCAUUGAUUUCAGAUUUUUUUUUUGAAAAAUUAGAAGUAUGAGUUUACUUGACACGGAAUACUUUAGAAUGAUGAAUAAAUGCAACUCUAAGGAAAAUUCAUAAGCAUUAUUGAGUAAACACGAGUUCUUUUCCAUGUUAAA
Long non-coding RNA from Setaria italica (foxtail millet), 982 nucleotides. RefSeq lists it as uncharacterized. The transcript is spliced from 2 exons. NCBI's taxonomy places the organism in Eukaryota, Viridiplantae, Streptophyta, Magnoliopsida, Poales, Poaceae. The record is from RefSeq and is a predicted model, not a curated record.